GAUGAACGCUGGCGGCGUGCCUAAUACAUGCAAGUCGAGCGAACAGACGAGGAGCUUUCUCCUUUGACGUUAGCGGCGGACGGGUGAGUAACACGUAGGUAACCUACCUAUAAGACUGGGAUAACUUCGGGAAACCGGAGCUAAUACCGGAUAAUAUUUCGAACCGCGUGGUUCGAUAGUGAAAGAUGCCUUUCCUAUCACUUAUAGAUGGUCCUGCGCCGUAUUAGCUAGUUGGUAAGGUAACGGCUUACCAAGGCAACGAUACGUAGCCGACCUGAGAGGGUGAUCGGCCACACUGGAACUGAGACACGGUCCAGACUCCUACGGGAGGCAGCAGUAGGGAAUCUUCCGCAAAGGGCGAAAGCCUGACGGAGCAACGCCGCGUGAGUGAUGAAGGUCUUCGGAUCGUAAAACUCUGUUAUUAGGGAAGAACAAACGUGUAAGUAACUGUGCACGUCUUGACGGUACCUAAUCAGAAAGCCACGGCUAACUACGUG
Molecule: ribosomal RNA, 497 nt
Filed under: uncultured bacterium
Lineage: Bacteria
Description: partial 16S ribosomal RNA
Rfam family: Bacterial small subunit ribosomal RNA
Source: RNAcentral